Oncorhynchus mykiss (rainbow trout) is the source of this 253-nucleotide non-coding RNA. The record is from RefSeq and is a predicted model, not a curated record. Lineage: Eukaryota; Metazoa; Chordata; Actinopteri; Salmoniformes; Salmonidae.
UUCCUCGCCUCGCUGUUGUAAAAUGGCUAGUUAGAAAGUGUGAGAGAGACAAUGAUCGUCUCUGCAUGACGCCGCUGGGACCCCACUUCAGUCCCCCGACACCUCACGCAGUUUCAGGCAAUUGGCGAAUGUUUAGAUGUUUCUGUCACGGCUGUUGAAAGGAGAGGACCAAGGUGCAGCGUGUGUUUAACGAGAUAAUCCCUACUCCUGUGGACUUCAUGAAAAAAUGCAUUAACUUAAUCCAUGACAACAG